RNAcentral lists this ribosomal RNA (253 nucleotides) under uncultured bacterium. RNAcentral describes it as "partial 16S ribosomal RNA". It matches the Rfam family "Bacterial small subunit ribosomal RNA", at positions 524 to 776 of the family's 1533-position model. The record is from RNAcentral. RNAcentral also lists the same sequence under 1 other name.
UACGAAGGUGGCAAGCGUUAUUCGGAUUUACUGGGCGUACAGGGAGCGUAGGCGGUUCGGUAAGCCCUUUGUGAAAUCUUCAGGCUUAACCUGGAAAAGUCGGAGGGGACUGCCGGGCUAGAGGACGGGAGAGGAGCGCGGAAUUCCCGGUGUAGCGGUGAAAUGCGUAGAGAUCGGGAGGAAGGCCGGUGGCGAAGGCGGCGCUCUGGAACGUUUCUGACGCUGAGGCUCGAAAGCGUGGGGAGCAAACAGG